Molecule: long non-coding RNA, 154 nt
Organism: Vespula pensylvanica (western yellowjacket)
Lineage: Eukaryota; Metazoa; Arthropoda; Insecta; Hymenoptera; Vespidae
Exons: 2
Source: RefSeq, a predicted model, not a curated record
GUUUUACAAAGGCAUACGCGAACCCUCCUUAACCUUCCCUUAGUGCAUUUAGCUUUGGAAGAUACUAUUGUUUCAAACUUUCUCUCUCUCUCUCUCUCUCUCUCUCUCUCUCUCUCUCUCUCUCUCUCUCUCUCUCUCUCUCUCUCUCUCUCUC